Transfer RNA from Camelus ferus (Wild Bactrian camel), 72 nucleotides. It matches the Rfam family "tRNA". From Rfam's summary of the family: Transfer RNA (tRNA) molecules are approximately 80 nucleotides in length. Lineage: Eukaryota; Metazoa; Chordata; Mammalia; Artiodactyla; Camelidae. The record is from Rfam.
GAAGGUAUAGCUCAGUGGUAGAGCAUGUGCUUAACAUCCAUGAGGUCCUGGGUUCAAUCCCCAGUACCUCCA